Molecule: ribosomal RNA, 424 nt
Filed under: uncultured prokaryote
Description: bacterial SSU rRNA
Rfam family: Bacterial small subunit ribosomal RNA
Source: RNAcentral
UGGGGAAUAUUGGACAAUGGGGGCAACCCUGAUCCAGCCAUGCCGCGUGAGUGAUGAAGGCCUUAGGGUUGUAAAGCUCUUUCGCCGGUGAAGAUAAUGACGGUAACCGGUAAAGAAGCCCCGGCUAACUUCGUGCCAGCAGCCGCGGUAAUACGAAGGGGGCUAGCGUUGUUCGGAAUUACUGGGCGUAAAGCGCGCGUAGGCGGACUUUUAAGUCAGGGGUGAAAUCCCGGGGCUCAACCUCGGAAUUGCCUUUGAUACUGGUAGACUAGAGUGCGGGAGAGGGGAGUGGAACUCCGAGAGGAGAGGUGAAAUUCGUAGAUAUUCGGAAGAACACCAGUGGCGAAGGCGGCUCACUGGCACGGUACUGACGCUGAGGUGCGAAAGCGUGGGGAGCAAACAGGAUUAGAUACCCCGGUAGUCC